Molecule: transfer RNA, 77 nt
Filed under: Dermatophilus congolensis
Lineage: Bacteria; Bacillati; Actinomycetota; Actinomycetes; Micrococcales; Dermatophilaceae
Description: tRNA-Val(cac)
Rfam family: tRNA
About the family: Transfer RNA (tRNA) molecules are approximately 80 nucleotides in length. Their secondary structure includes four short double-helical elements and three loops (D, anti-codon, and T loops). Further hydrogen bonds mediate the characteristic L-shaped molecular structure. tRNAs have two regions of fundamental functional importance: the anti-codon, which is responsible for specific mRNA codon recognition, and the 3' end, to which the tRNAs corresponding amino acid is attached (by aminoacyl-tRNA synthetases). tRNAs cope with the degeneracy of the genetic code in two manners: having more than one tRNA (with a specific anti-codon) for a particular amino acid; and 'wobble' base-pairing, i.e. permitting non-standard base-pairing at the 3rd anti-codon position.
Source: RNAcentral
GGACGUGUAGCUCAGCUGGUUAGAGCGUUCGCUUCACACGCGAAAAGUCAGGGGUUCGAGUCCCUUCACGUCCACCA